Molecule: ribosomal RNA, 301 nt
Filed under: uncultured bacterium
Lineage: Bacteria
Description: partial 16S ribosomal RNA
Rfam family: Bacterial small subunit ribosomal RNA
Source: RNAcentral
CAGUCGCCACGGUAAUACAGAGGAUGCAAGCGUUAUCCGGAAUGAUUGGGCGUAAAGCGCACGUAGGCGGCUUUGUAAGUUAGAGGUGAAAGCCCAGAGCUCAACUCUGGAAUUGCCUUUAAGACUGCAUCGCUUGAAUCCAGGAGAGGUGAGUGGAAUUCCGAGUGUAGAGGUGAAAUUCGUAGAUAUUCGGAAGAACACCAGUGGCGAAGGCGGCUCACUGGACUGGUAUUGACGCUGAGGUGCGAAAGCGUGGGGAGCAAAUAGGAUUAGAUACCCGCGUAGUCCCUGUCUCUUAUAC